RNAcentral lists this ribosomal RNA (160 nucleotides) under uncultured bacterium. RNAcentral's name for it is "partial 16S ribosomal RNA". It matches the Rfam family "Bacterial small subunit ribosomal RNA", at positions 349 to 507 of the family's 1533-position model. The record is from RNAcentral.
CAGCAGUGGGGAAUAUUAGGCAAUGGGCGCAAGCCUGAUCCAGCAAUGCCGCGUGAUGAAGCCCAAGUUCUUCUAAAGGAAAGGGCUUUGGAAGAAAGAAAACCCUUGUUCCCGCCUAGGUAUGACGGUACCGCAAGAAUAAGCACCGGCUAACUACCUA